AAAGAAUGAAUCUGAACUGUGCAUCGCGUUUAAUUGCGACCAUUUGAUCGUGCUUGAGGAGGGAACGAAUCCGGGCUGUCCAAUCGCGGGCAUGCGGAUUGCCAGCGUGGCCUCCCGCGUGGCACUGAGUCAGGUUCCUUACCACACGGUGUGCUCCUGUUCGUCGGGGUUGCUAACUGGGCGGUCCUAUGGCGCAAUUUUUGUAAUUACAUUUUGACCACUAAUUU
This 227-nucleotide long non-coding RNA is filed under the name Carica papaya (papaya). Its description in RNAcentral is "long non-coding RNA (CPAP_LNC007588)". The record is from RNAcentral. Lineage: Eukaryota; Viridiplantae; Streptophyta; Magnoliopsida; Brassicales; Caricaceae.